This 254-nucleotide ribosomal RNA is filed under the name uncultured bacterium. Its description in RNAcentral is "partial 16S ribosomal RNA". It matches the Rfam family "Bacterial small subunit ribosomal RNA", at positions 524 to 776 of the family's 1533-position model. The record is from RNAcentral.
UACGUAGGGUGCAAGCGUUUGUCCGGAAUUAUUGGGCGUAAAGAGCUCGUAGGCGGCCUGUCGCGUCGGCUGUGAAAACCCGGAGCUCAACUCCGGGCCUGCAGUCGAUACGGGCAGACUGGAGUUCGGCAGGGGAGACUGGAAUUCCUGGUGUAGCGGUGAAAUGCGCAGAUAUCAGGAGGAACACCGGUGGCGAAGGCGGGUCUCUGGGCCUUACCUGACGCUGAGGAGCGAAAGCGUGGGGAGCGAACAGG